UGUGUGAGUUCCAGUCCUGACUUCCUUUGGUGAUGAACAGCAAUGUGGAAGUCAAUCCUCUUGUCCUCUUCUAAUUAAAACUCCCAGGAAUAUGAUGGUAUUUUUGCUGAUCAGACUUCUACAACACAUGUUUCUUUGGACUGAGAAGAAUGGAAGUCCAACGAUCUACUUGACUGUGAAUUAGAAAUGGCUCAUGUGCAUGUACUGAGUCAUUACCUCCAAAGGAAGAAUCUCAUACAUGGACUGUUUUCCUGGAUUAAAAAAAUACAGUAUUCAAUUGUUAUCCAAAGGUAUACCAUCAAUUUAUAUAACAAAUGACAAUGUAUGAAUAUACAGUUUUCAUUCCCAUUCUUUAUGUACUCUAUAACUUCCAUAUCUGUGUGCAUCCCAACUCAGUUGUAGAAAAUUAUUCUUUAAUGCUGAUAAUUCCAUCCAUUUCCUAUCUACAAUCUUUAUGUAUAAUUUAUUUCCCAAGUUUAAUGUAAUACUUAUAAAAUAGCUAUUCAAAGCUGGCAUCUUUUACUGUUUAUGUAAUAAAUGUGAGUUCAGUGUUUAAUUUAUCCUGAAAUUUUUCUGCAUUACUCUGAUAAUAUUUUUAUUCCAGAAUGUGUCACUUAAAUAAAUAGUGCUAUUCUCUCUC
Molecule: long non-coding RNA, 640 nt
Filed under: Rattus norvegicus (Norway rat)
Lineage: Eukaryota; Metazoa; Chordata; Mammalia; Rodentia; Muridae
Description: long non-coding RNA NONRATT006575
Source: RNAcentral